This 28-nucleotide non-coding RNA is filed under the name Mus musculus (house mouse). The record is from RNAcentral. Lineage: Eukaryota; Metazoa; Chordata; Mammalia; Rodentia; Muridae.
UCUGACCACUGAAACUCACAGGAGAGAG